ACGUAGGAGGCAAGCGUUAUCCGGAGUUACUGGGCGUAAAGCGCGUGCAGGCGGUGCGAUAAGUCGUGCGUGAAAGCUCCCAGGCUUAACCGGGCGAGGACGUGCGGAACUGCUGAACUGGAGGCAGGUAGAGGCGUGUGGAAUUCCGGGUGUAGCGGUGAAAUGCAUAGAUAUCAGUCGGAACACCGGUGGCGAAGGCGGCCUCUUGGGCCGUUCCUGACGCUGAGGCGCGAAAGCCAGGGGAGCGAACGG
Molecule: ribosomal RNA, 252 nt
Filed under: uncultured prokaryote
Description: partial 16S ribosomal RNA
Rfam family: Bacterial small subunit ribosomal RNA
Source: RNAcentral